UACGAAGGGUGCGAGCGUUAUUCGGAAUUAUUGGGCGUAAAGGGUUCGUAGGCGGGAUUGUAAGUCAAGUGUGAAAUCCCCGAGCUUAACUCAGGACGUGCAUUUGAAACUGUGAUUCUUGAGUCAUUGAGAGGGUGGUGGAAUUGUUGGUGUAGGAGUGACAUCCGUAGAGAUCAACAGGAACAUCAGAGGCGAAAGCGGCCACCUGGCAAUGUACUGACGCUGAGGAACGAAAGCGUGGGGAGCAAACAGG
RNAcentral lists this ribosomal RNA (253 nucleotides) under uncultured bacterium. RNAcentral's name for it is "partial 16S ribosomal RNA". It matches the Rfam family "Bacterial small subunit ribosomal RNA", at positions 524 to 776 of the family's 1533-position model. The record is from RNAcentral.